This 436-nucleotide ribosomal RNA is filed under the name uncultured organism. RNAcentral describes it as "bacterial SSU rRNA". It matches the Rfam family "Bacterial small subunit ribosomal RNA", at positions 346 to 794 of the family's 1533-position model. The record is from RNAcentral.
GUGCAGCAGUCGAGAAUCUUCCGCAAUGGACGAAAGUCUGACGGAGCGACGCCGCGUGAACGAUGAAGUGCCUCGGCAUGUAAAGUUCUUUUGCCAGGGAGAAAGUUUAUUGAUAGUACUUGGCGAAUAAGAGGUUGCUAAACUCGUGCCAGCAGCAGCGGUAAUACGAGUGCCUCAAGCGUUAUCCGGAAUCAUUGGGCGUAAAGGUUGUGUAGGUGGUCAUAUUAGUCUCUUGUUAAAUUCUUCGGCUUAAACCGGGGGCAUGCAAGGGAAACGGUAUGACUUGAGGAUGCGAGGGGUCUGCGGAACUCAUAGUGUAGCGGUGAAAUGCGUUGAUAUUAUGGGGAACACCAAAAGCGAAGGCAGCAGACUGGAGCACUCCUGACACUGAAACAAGAAAGCGUGGGUCGCGAAUGGGAUUAGAUACCCCUGUAGU